AUUGAACGCUGGCGGCAGGCUUAACACAUGCAAGUCGAGCGGGGAAGGGUAGCUUGCUACUUAACCUAGCGGCGGACGGGUGAGUAAUGCUUAGGAAUCUGCCUAUUAGUGGGGGACAACAUUCCGAAAGGAAUGCUAAUACCGCAUACGUCCUACGGGAGAAAGCAGGGGAUCUUCGGACCUUGCGCUAAUAGAUGAGCCUAAGUCGGAUUAGCUAGUUGGUGGGGUAAAGGCCUACCAAGGCGACGAUCUGUAGCGGGUCUGAGAGGAUGAUCCGCCACACUGGGACUGAGACACGGCCCAGACUCCUACGGGAGGCAGCAGUGGGGAAUAUUGGACAAUGGGCGGAAGCCUGAUCCAGCCAUGCCGCGUGUGUGAAGAAGGCCUUAUGGUUGUAAAGCACUUUAAGCGAGGAGGAGGCUACUCUAGUUAAUACCUAGAGAUAGUGGACGUUACUCGCAGAAUAAGCACCGGCUAACUCUGUGCCAGCAGCCGCGGUAAUACAGAGGGUGCGAGCGUUAAUCGGAUUUACUGGGCGUAAAGCGUGCGUAGGCGGCUGAUUAAGUCGGAUGUGAAAUCCCUGAGCUUAACUUAGGAAUUGCAUUCGAUACUGGUCAGCUAGAGUAUGGGAGAGGAUGGUAGAAUUCCAGGUGUAGCGGUGAAAUGCGUAGAGAUCUGGAGGAAUACCGAUGGCGAAGGCAGCCAUCUGGCCUAAUACUGACGCUGAGGUACGAAAGCAUGGGGAGCAAACAGGAUUAGAUACCCUGGUAGUCCAUGCCGUAAACGAUGUCUACUAGCCGUUGGGGCCUUUGAGGCUUUAGUGGCGCAGCUAACGCGAUAAGUAGACCGCCUGGGGAGUACGGUCGCAAGACUAAAACUCAAAUGAAUUGACGGGGGCCCGCACAAGCGGUGGAGCAUGUGGUUUAAUUCGAUGCAACGCGAAGAACCUUACCUGGUCUUGACAUACUAAGAACUUUCCAGAGAUGGAUUGGUGCCUUCGGGAACUUACAUACAGGUGCUGCAUGGCUGUCGUCAGCUCGUGUCGUGAGAUGUUGGGUUAAGUCCCGCAACGAGCGCAACCCUUUUCCUUACUUGCCAGCAUUUCAAAUG
RNAcentral lists this ribosomal RNA (1110 nucleotides) under Acinetobacter sp. AUH-JLM281. RNAcentral describes it as "bacterial SSU rRNA". It matches the Rfam family "Bacterial small subunit ribosomal RNA", at positions 28 to 1133 of the family's 1533-position model. Lineage: Bacteria; Pseudomonadati; Pseudomonadota; Gammaproteobacteria; Moraxellales; Moraxellaceae. The record is from RNAcentral.